This 517-nucleotide ribosomal RNA is filed under the name Cladosporium sp. 234B. RNAcentral describes it as "eukaryotic LSU rRNA". The stretch from base 227 to 380 matches the Rfam family "5.8S ribosomal RNA". Lineage: Eukaryota; Fungi; Ascomycota; Dothideomycetes; Cladosporiales; Cladosporiaceae. The record is from RNAcentral.
UUCUUUGUCCUUUUUUUUAGGGAAUAAAGUCGUAACAAGGUCUCCGUAGGUGAACCUGCGGAGGGAUCAUUACAAGUGACCCCGGCUACGGCCGGGAUGUUCAUAACCCUUUGUUGUCCGACUCUGUUGCCUCCGGGGCGACCCUGCCUUCGGGCGGGGGCUCCGGGUGGACACUUCAAACUCUUGCGUAACUUUGCAGUCUGAGUAAACUUAAUUAAUAAAUUAAAACUUUUAACAACGGAUCUCUUGGUUCUGGCAUCGAUGAAGAACGCAGCGAAAUGCGAUAAGUAAUGUGAAUUGCAGAAUUCAGUGAAUCAUCGAAUCUUUGAACGCACAUUGCGCCCCCUGGUAUUCCGGGGGGCAUGCCUGUUCGAGCGUCAUUUCACCACUCAAGCCUCGCUUGGUAUUGGGCAACGCGGUCCGCCGCGUGCCUCAAAUCGUCCGGCUGGGUCUUCUGUCCCCUAAGCGUUGUGGAAACUACGGAUCAGGUAGGGAUACCCGCUGAACUUAAGCUUAA